CGGAAACCAGGCAGAAGAUGCCCACCGCGUCCUGGAACGAGGCACAUGAACCCUAACAGCCAAGAGGACCGGCAGGCUCGCCGCCGCAGCCACAAGCCCUCCCGCCUCAGCCCGUAUCUCCUCUUUGGGGAGCAGAUGGCUCAGCUCCCUGAUUCAUCCCGUACAAGUACAGGCCUUGGCUGAGGAAGCAGCAGGGCUAUAUGGCCCAUGGAGAGUGAGGAUGACCUGAGAGUGAACUAAAGAUCUUGACUGCUAGAUGACCUCCCUAAAAUGUACAUUCAUAUAUCUUUCUAAUGUUCAGCAGUAUUUUGGAUAUUUAGUCAGUCAUGGUGUUCUAGUUGACGGGAUUUUGCCUCUGUAAUGCCUGACGUGACACUGGUGGUUCAUCAGCAAAACUGUAGCAAAGAGAACACCCUCUAGUUGCUAAUAUAUAGGAAAUUUUACGCUCAGUAAAAGCUGCCCUUAGGCUGCCCCUACGCUUGUCAGCAGAAGCAAAGUAAAGCCACCCUCUGCCCAAUUUGUUGUCCACCCUGGGGAGCACAACUGGAGGGACUGUAGGUGCCUAGGAUGCCAGGUACAAGACACACCUUGCCAGGGCCAGAUGUGUCUGGAUACCCACUUAUCUUCAGAGCUUCCAUCAAAACCCUCCAGAAUAAAAGAGCAGGUGCCCCAAAACUUGUGAAAAUACCAUCAAGAAAGUAUCUGGUGAGAGAAGACUGUUGAAAGAUGAGAAGAAUGGAGAGUCACCCUCUCAAACAAGAUGGCUGCCAGCAAGGGCACUGAGGCCCAGCUGAAAAAAAUUGUUUUUAGUCACUUUUGAAAUUAAAAUCACAGUGUCCAACAAUACUGUUAGAUGCUACUUCAAUUAAUUCUUCUUGGCAACACUACUGGGACAGAUGAAUGAACCUCAAGGGGGAUAUUUGUGGUGGAAGAUGAAGUCCAAGACAUCCCUGCCCAGAUCCAGAAAAGUCUUCAAGACAGAUAUAUGCUCUGUACAAAUGGACUAGCCAAAUCCUGCAGCCCACAAGGAAAGACAAACCCUUAAAGCUUGUCUCCUUGUUCCUUACAAAAAAUGCUCAAAUGUCUGCUGGAUGGCAAGUUUAAUUCAGAAAAAGCUCUGCAACUGACUCCAGUUGCAAAUAUCAUAUACCGAUAUUUACGCAUCUCAAAUUGAUUAUGAAAGGAGAAAAAUACAACUCGGUGAAAAGAAUUCUUUUGGGGAUGCCAUAUUAAAAAUGCAUAUUUUUCCACAAUUUAGCAAAACACAUUAUUGGACUGUAAUCACCCCUUUAAAAAACAGGAAACCUGCCAGGUGGCAAGGACUUAGCUUUUUAAUGAAGUUUCCAGUUCAGCUCUAUUUCCAUAGAACUGUGAAGAGCUGCAUCCCUUCCAAAAGUUACUGAUUUCUAGUCUUUAACUUUCAACGGUUCACCUUCUGCUCACUGGAAACAUGAGACUUGUGUUCUCAGGGAGACAUCAUGAACGAAUUGUCAAGGGAUAGCUCCAGUGGUCAACAGAGUGGAAGAAGACAUCAGCACAGGAUGAUUCACAUCAUCUGUGUGAUCUCCCACUAACCUGUUCCCAUUCUUCAACUGCCUGUACUCUUCCUAUCUCCCCUCCUCCCUUCUUUCUUGCCACUUGUUCUUCCCUCCCACGGUUUCCAUCACCCCACCCUCCCUUUGAUUUAAUCCCUCAUUCUCUAUGUUCCUUCGCUCAGCUUCACGCACCACAUGAAUCCAGACCUCCCAUGCAUGAACCUGGAGUGAAAAGCCUCUAAUAAAGAACCAGUCACUA
Long non-coding RNA from Columba livia (rock pigeon), 1794 nucleotides. RefSeq lists it as uncharacterized. NCBI's taxonomy places the organism in Eukaryota, Metazoa, Chordata, Aves, Columbiformes, Columbidae. The transcript is spliced from 3 exons. The record is from RefSeq and is a predicted model, not a curated record.